CUGCAACUCGCCUGCACGAAGUCGGAAUUGCUAGUAAUCGUAGGUCAGCAUACUACGGUGAAUACGUUCCCGGGCCUUGUACACACCGCCCGUCAAACCAUGAGAGUUGGCAACACCCGAAGUCGGUAGUCUAACCGCAAGGAGGACGCCGCCGAAGGUGGGGUUGAUGAUUAGGGUUAAGUCGUAACAAGGUAAC
Molecule: ribosomal RNA, 196 nt
Filed under: uncultured bacterium
Lineage: Bacteria
Description: partial 16S ribosomal RNA
Rfam family: Bacterial small subunit ribosomal RNA
Source: RNAcentral